Molecule: ribosomal RNA, 497 nt
Filed under: uncultured bacterium
Lineage: Bacteria
Description: partial 16S ribosomal RNA
Rfam family: Bacterial small subunit ribosomal RNA
Source: RNAcentral
GAUGAACGCUGGCGGCGUGCCUAAUACAUGCAAGUCGAGCGAACGGACGAGAAGCUUGCUUCUCUGAUGUUAGCGGCGGACGGGUGAGUAACACGUGGAUAACCUACCUAUAAGACUGGGAUAACUUCGGGAAACCGGAGCUAAUACCGGAUGAUAUUUUGAACCGCAUGGUUCAAAAGUGAAAGACGGUCUUGCUGUCACUUAUAGAUGGAUCCGCGCUGCAUUAGCUAGUUGGUAAGGUAACGGCUUACCAAGGCAACGAUGCAUAGCCGACCUGAGAGGGUGAGCGGCCACACGUGAACUGAGACACGGUCCAGACUCCUACGGGAGGCAGCAGCAGGGAGUCUUCCGCAAUGGGCGAAAGCCUGAAGGAGCAACGCAGCGUGAGUGAUGAAGGUCUUCGGAUCGUAAAACUCUGUUAUUAGGGAAGAACAUAUGUGUAAGUAACUGUGCACAUCUUGACGGUACCUAAUCAGAAAGCCACGGCUAACUACGUG